RNAcentral lists this long non-coding RNA (1355 nucleotides) under Pogona vitticeps (central bearded dragon). RNAcentral's name for it is "lncRNA (ENSPVIG00000014373.1)". Lineage: Eukaryota; Metazoa; Chordata; Lepidosauria; Squamata; Agamidae. The record is from RNAcentral.
AUGAAAAGAUCCGUCCUUCGUCACUUUCCCAACGCGUUGCUCUCUUUCUUCCCUCCUUCCUUCCCUCCCCGCUUUCUGACUUUUGGAAACCCUCAGAAAGAGGCUGACCAAACAUCGUUAGCAAAUAUCCGUCCAAGGCGUUGGCACUUUAAAAACCUGAGAAAAACAGGGCGACGUUGCCCCUUCCCGCCCUUAUUCCUCCCCCCGGUAAGAAUUGCCGUCCGUCUCAGGGAACUGCGCCCGAGGCAUGAGGGGCGCCUCCAGGAGACGUCACUGAAGCCGCUGCCUUACCCCUGGCGGCAGGGCAAGGCUUGCUGGGAUAGCAUCCGGGAACCACAACAGUCCCCCAUUCCAGCAGUUGAAGCCGGAGGGGAGAGCGUGCGGUGGGGCUUGCCUCCAUACCCCAACAGGGGGAAUCUGCUGAACUUUGGCCUCCCCCGUGCUUGCACAGGCAAGCUUCCGUUUAUGCCCAGUGCCCAGAGAGGAGGACGGCGGCGGCGGCGGCGGCGGCCGGUUGCUGGAGAGGUGCGGGCGCGUGUGUAUGUGAGAGAGCGGUGCUGCACGUCAGGGGCUUGGAGUUUGAAAUAACAAGUCUUUCAUUGAAAUGACUCCAGUGCUGUAGCCACCCAAUCUCAGCUUCAGUCUUCUCUUCAGUAUGAGAAUAAUGAUAAUGACUUGCUUCACAUACAGUAGCUAUCCUGAGGACUACAGGACCAUAAGGUAUAUGAGGCACCUUUAGCCACAGAGAAACCAAAAUGGAAAGCAACAAGUCCCAUUUUCUGAUUAGUUAGUUUUGCAGAGCAGAAGUGUGUGCUGCUAUAGAAAUUAGCAAAGAUGUCCAACAUAUUUACACAUUUGUGAUUUGUUUGGAUACUAGCAUAACCACUCUUAGUGUCUUACUGCGGAGGGUGGGUGGGGGUGGAAUCAAUCUUUGUUAAUUUGUAAGCAUUUAAAAAUACUUCUACCAAUUUAAAUUUUAGUGUUCUUGCAGGCUGAAGGGGGCUGUGGCUGAUAGUGUCAUACAACAACCAGUUCUGCAAUGUGUUUUAAUGUUCUGCUGCUGCAAGCAGGGAAUCUGAAAAUGGGCAUCAUAUCUGCACGUCAAGGGCAUCGCUAACAACAGCUUUAAAUAUUAAAUAGCAUUCUUUCCUAUGAUAGCACAGAUCAACACGAGAGAAGAUACUUUUUGUCAGCAUUUUUAUAACAUUACAUAAAAUCCCUGCAUUAUAGGUUGAACGCAUAUGAGAACUAGCAUUUUUAAUGUCUACCUAGGGUGAUUUGGGGACUUUUCUCUGUCUAGUGUACAAGAAAACAAUAUAAAUAAAUAAAUAAAUAAAUAAAUAAAUAAAUAAAUA